UCAACGCUAGCCCGGACACGCACGCGCUCCAACUUUUUUUUGUUAUCCACCCAGCGGAUGCCACCGCGAGGCGCGAGCUGCUCCACUCUGUCCAGAUCUGCGGGAUUUUAUCGGAAGGCUCAACUUCACGACCGCGCUCAAGUUUGGGAUUUUGGAUUAUAUCGACUUGGGAACGUUUUACGGAUUAAGGAUUACCCACGAUUCCCUCUUCCGAAUACUGGAUUAUUUACUCGUGCCGUGGGAUUAUCGCACCGUCCGCGACGGGAAAACGGCGUGAGGUUUAUUGAUCCUGAGGAAUCGGAUGGUUUGGAAUCGGGUCGGUGUUCCAGACGUGUCCCGUACCAGAUGUUCCGGAAUGGGGAGCCGCCAGUCAUGCCCCAAUCCAAAAACGUCCUCCAGACGUCCAGUUUAGGGUUGUGGCGGACUCAGAACCUAUCUUGGGAUACGCUGAGUGCAAGGCAGGGAUACACCCUGAAUCAAACACACCCUGAACCCCUCAAACACGCCCCAAAAGCAGCAGAUACGCCGGGGUUAGCUCAACACUAAAGGACAUACCAUCAAUGGACACCAUGGGUGUGUUCUUCAACUUGAUCAGCAGGACCUGAGAUGCCCUCAUGCUGACCUGCAACGAAAGAACCGUACAGGAACCGGAGGUUAAGUAACCAAACACAACGAAAGAUCUGUUAUUGAUCACGAUGUGCACGCCGUGGCUCGUCGAGGAAACAGCAGCGAGGUGGAGGAGGAGGAGGAUUCAUCCUGAGUCACUGAGUGAAACUGAGGAUUCGACAGGUUUGGGUGUGUGGAGUCACUGGGCUUUCUUCGCUUGUUAAAGCAGGACGCUUGUAAAGCAGGAAGAUAAAUUCGAGUCCAUGUGUUAUAAACGGGAACGGCGGGGAAACCUAUCCUCUAAACCGCAAGGAGCCCUGCGGCUUUUCCUGACCGCCCUGAUCCAGACGAGCCGACCCGUAGCUGUUUUCUGUCAGCAGUCUCUCCAGGAGAAGUUCGUGGUGAGGUCACAGGGAACAACCUUUUUUGAGGCGGGACGGAAGACGGCGUAGACUCAAAACCGGUUUCUUCUAAACCCGUGCCCGAACAUGUCCUGUGAGACUGGUGGGGUUGGAAUAGAAUCGGUACCCCCCAGAUCCGUCACGCAAAACCGCCACCGAGCCGCGGAACCUGUCCGUCUGAUCCCGAGACGCCGAACGUGACGCGCCACGAGCACGGAGGCCUGUAAUCCGUGUGAUGGUUGGAUAAACGUUGAAUAACGAACGCAGCGUCACUGUAUUACGUAACGGAAUCCUGUAGGGUCGUCAUGGCGACCUGUUUCGUAUCGAUCUCGCCGGAUUCCUAAUAUUUCACCACUCCCUGCCCUCAUCCUCGUCCCCGCGUCCGAAUGUUAAAAACGUGACUCAAAGUGUUCGGAGAGUAAAUACAGAGGUUUUGUGUGUUAACUGGACAAACUGUUGUGUUAAAGUACAGUUUUAGUCUGAAAUUUAUAUUUGUAACACCGGGAACAUGGUAGUAAAAGCUUUUUUAAUCCGAUUAAGCGAUUAGGAACAGAAUCGUUAGCUGCGGCUCUAAUUAAAAUAUAACAGUUUAGUUAAAGGGAAGGAGAGGUAUUAGUGUAAACACGCAGCACCGUUUGUCCGUGUGUUUGUGUCGAGACCCGUUUGUCACGUCUAACAGGCCGAGCUUGACUUCAGCAGCAAAGAUUCUCAGGAUAAGCGUUGAUGGAAACCGGUGAACCCGCAUGUACAGGCGGUUCCCUUAAUCAAAUAAUUAAUAUCCAGUUCCUGUAAUAUGACACGAGGCCAGGUUGGAAUACGAUACAACUGUUGUGUCAUACUGGCUGCAAAAGGGCACGUUUAAAAUAUAUUCUUUAUGUACAGGUAUUUACAGGGUUUUUUUUUUAUGGGUCAUAUAGUGUAUGAGGACUUAAAAUAGCUUAGGUCUUAGAAUGUGUUGUAUGACCUGCUAUAGCCCAUAUAGUGUAUAGGAGGCCUUAUAAUGUAUUAUAUUAUAACGUAUGGUCUUAUUAUAGGCCUUAUAGUGUAUUAUAGCGCAUUAUAGGUGUUGUUAUAGGUCUUACUGUUAUAGGCCGUAUAGUGUAUGAUGCCUUAUAAUGUAUUAUAUGUCUUAUUAUAG
This is a long non-coding RNA of Ictalurus punctatus (channel catfish), 2145 nucleotides long. Lineage: Eukaryota; Metazoa; Chordata; Actinopteri; Siluriformes; Ictaluridae. The record is from Ensembl.